Molecule: ribosomal RNA, 468 nt
Filed under: uncultured bacterium
Lineage: Bacteria
Description: partial 16S ribosomal RNA
Rfam family: Bacterial small subunit ribosomal RNA
Source: RNAcentral
GACGAACGCUGGCGGCGUGCUUAACACAUGCAAGUCGAACGGAAAGGCCCUGCUUUUGUGGGGUGCUCGAGUGGCGAACGGGUGAGGAACACGUGAGUAACCUGCCCUUGACUUUGGGAUAACUUCAGGAAACUGGGGCUAAUACCGGAUAGGAGCUCCUGCUGCAUGGUGGGGGUUGGAAAGUUUCGGCGGUUGGGGAUGGACUCGCGGCUUAUCAGCUUGUUGGUGGGGUAGUGGCUUACCAAGGCUUUGACGGGUAGCCGGCCUGAGAGGGUGACCGGCCACAUUGGGACUGAGAUACGGCCCAGACUCUUACGGGAGGCAGCAGUGGGGAAUAUUGCACAAUGGGCGGAAGCCUGAUGCAGCAACGCCGCGUGCGGGAUGACGGCCUUCGGGUUGUAAACCGCUUUCGCCUGUGACGAAGCGUGAGUGACGGUAAUGGGUAAAGAAGCACCGGCUAACUACGUG